RNAcentral lists this ribosomal RNA (497 nucleotides) under uncultured bacterium. RNAcentral's name for it is "partial 16S ribosomal RNA". It matches the Rfam family "Bacterial small subunit ribosomal RNA", at positions 28 to 507 of the family's 1533-position model. The record is from RNAcentral.
GAUGAACGCUGGCGGCGUGCCUAAUACAUGCAAGUCGAGCGAACAGACGAGGAGCUUGCUCUUCUGACGUUAGCGGCGGACGGGUGAGUAACACGUGGAUAACCUACCUAUAAGACUGGGAUAACUUCGGGAAACCGGAGCUAAUACCGGAUAAUAUAUUGAACCGCAUGGUUCAUUAGUGAAAUACGGUUUUGCUGUCACUUAUAGAUGGAUCCGCGCCGCAUUAGCUAGUUGGUAAGGUAACGGCUUACCAAGGCGACGAUGCGUAGCCGACCUGAGAGGGUGAUCGGCCACACUGGAACUGAGACACGGUCCAGACUCCUACGGGAGGCAGCAGUAGGGAAUCUUCCGCAAUGGGCGAAAGCCUGACGGAGCAACGCCGCGUGAGUGAUGAAGGUCUUCGGAUCGUAAAACUCUGUUAUUAGGGAAGAACAAAUGUGUAAGUAACUAUGCACGUCUUGACGGUACCUAAUCAGAAAGCCACGGCUAACUACGUG